RNAcentral lists this ribosomal RNA (461 nucleotides) under uncultured bacterium. Its description in RNAcentral is "SSU rRNA". It matches the Rfam family "Bacterial small subunit ribosomal RNA", at positions 26 to 518 of the family's 1533-position model. The record is from RNAcentral.
AGAGCGAACGCUGGCGGCAGGCCUAAUACAUGCAAGUCGAACGGACCCUUCGGGGUUAGUGGCGGACGGGUGAGUAACACGUGGGAACGUGCCCUUUGGUUCGGAACAACUCAGGGAAACUUGAGCUAAUACCGAAUGUGCCCCCAUCCUUAAACAAGAUGGGUGGGAAAGAUUUAUCGCCAUUGGAGCGGCCCGCGUCUGAUUAGCUAGUUGGUGAGGUAAAGGCUCACCAAGGCGACGAUCAGUAGCUGGUCUGAGAGGAUGAUCAGCCACACUGGGACUGAGACACGGCCCAGACUCCUACGGGAGGCAGCAGUAGGGAAUCUUGCGCAAUGGGCGAAAGCCUGACGCAGCCAUGCCGCGUGAAUGAUGAAGGUCUUAGGAUUGUAAAAUUCUUUCAGCGGGGACGAUAAUGACGGUACCCGCAGAAGAGCCCCGGCUAACUUCGUGCCAGCAGCCGC